This 77-nucleotide transfer RNA is filed under the name Schaalia radingae. RNAcentral's name for it is "tRNA_Met_CAT". It matches the Rfam family "tRNA". Rfam says of the family: Transfer RNA (tRNA) molecules are approximately 80 nucleotides in length. Their secondary structure includes four short double-helical elements and three loops (D, anti-codon, and T loops). Lineage: Bacteria; Bacillati; Actinomycetota; Actinomycetes; Actinomycetales; Actinomycetaceae. The record is from RNAcentral.
GCCCUGAUAGCUCAGUCGGUUAGAGCAGCGGACUCAUAAUCCGUUUGUCCCGGGUUCGAGCCCCGGUCGGGGCACCG